Molecule: ribosomal RNA, 446 nt
Filed under: Pseudomonas sp. AE_156
Lineage: Bacteria; Pseudomonadati; Pseudomonadota; Gammaproteobacteria; Pseudomonadales; Pseudomonadaceae
Description: bacterial SSU rRNA
Rfam family: Bacterial small subunit ribosomal RNA
Source: RNAcentral
AGAGUUUGAUCCUGGCUCAGAUUGAACGCUGGCGGCAGGCCUAACACAUGCAAGUCGAGCGGAUGACGGGAGCUUGCUCCUUGAUUCAGCGGCGGACGGGUGAGUAAUGCCUAGGAAUCUGCCUGGUAGUGGGGGACAACGUUUCGAAAGGAACGCUAAUACCGCAUACGUCCUACGGGAGAAAGCAGGGGACCUUCGGGCCUUGCGCUAUCAGAUGAGCCUAGGUCGGAUUAGCUAGUUGGUGGGGUAAUGGCUCACCAAGGCGACGAUCCGUAACUGGUCUGAGAGGAUGAUCAGUCACACUGGAACUGAGACACGGUCCAGACUCUUACGGGAGGCAGCAGUGGGGAAUAUUGGACAAUGGGCGAAAGCCUGAUCCAGCCAUGCCGCGUGUGUGAAGAAGGUCUUCGGAUUGUAAAGCACUUUAAGUUGGGAGGAAGGGCAGU